This 82-nucleotide small RNA is filed under the name Salmonella enterica. RNAcentral's name for it is "partial RtT sRNA". It matches the Rfam family "RtT RNA", at positions 1 to 81 of the family's 130-position model. Rfam says of the family: This family represents a bacterial cis-regulatory element known as RtT RNA. The exact function of RtT is unknown although it is thought that it may be involved in changing the cellular response in relation to amino acid starvation. RNAcentral also lists the same sequence under 3 other names. Lineage: Bacteria; Pseudomonadati; Pseudomonadota; Gammaproteobacteria; Enterobacterales; Enterobacteriaceae. The record is from RNAcentral.
AUAUCUCUCUGUACGGGAAGGAUGAGAAGCUUCGACCAAGGUUCGAUUCGAGCGCAGCGAGAAAGCGUUGCCGCAGGCAACG